CGCUGGCGGCAGGCCUAACACAUGCAAGUCGAACGGUAACAGGAAACAGCUUGCUGUUUCGCUGACGAGUGGCGGACGGGUGAGUAAUGUCUGGGAAACUGCCUGAUGGAGGGGGAUAACUACUGGAAACGGUAGCUAAUACCGCAUAACGUCGCAAGACCAAAGAGGGGGACCCUCGGGCCUCUUGCCAUCGGAUGUGCCCAGAUGGGAUUAGCUUGUUGGUGGGGUAACGGCUCACCAAGGCGACGAUCCCUAGCUGGUCUGAGAGGAUGACCAGCCACACUGGAACUGAGACACGGUCCAGACUCCUACGGGAGGCAGCAGUGGGGAAUAUUGCACAAUGGGCGCAAGCCUGAUGCAGCCAUGCCGCGUGUAUGAAGAAGGCCUUCGGGUUGUAAAGUACUUUCAGCGGGGAGGAAGGGAGUAAAGUUAAUACCUUUGCUCAUUGACGUUACCCGCAGAAGAAGCACCGGCUAACUCCGU
RNAcentral lists this ribosomal RNA (483 nucleotides) under uncultured bacterium. RNAcentral's name for it is "partial 16S ribosomal RNA". It matches the Rfam family "Bacterial small subunit ribosomal RNA", at positions 34 to 506 of the family's 1533-position model. The record is from RNAcentral.